Molecule: ribosomal RNA, 524 nt
Filed under: uncultured bacterium
Lineage: Bacteria
Description: partial 16S ribosomal RNA
Rfam family: Bacterial small subunit ribosomal RNA
Source: RNAcentral
UGGGGAAUAUUGCACAAUGGGCGAAAGCCUGAUGCAGCAACGCCGCGUGAGUGAUGAAGGCCUUCGGGUUGUAAAGCUCUGUCUUUUGGGACGAUAAUGACGGUACCAAAGGAGGAAGCCACGGCUAACUACGUGCCAGCAGCCGCGGUAAUACGUAGGUGGCAAGCGUUGUCCGGAUUUACUGGACGUAAAGGAUGCGUAGGCGGAUUUUUAAGUGAGAUGUGAAAACCCUAAGCUUAACUUGGGGACUGCAUUUCAUACUGGAAAUCUAGAGUGCGGGAGAGGAGAAUGGAAUUCCUAGUGUAGCGGUGAAAUGCGUAGAGAUUAGGAAGAACACCAGUGGCGAAGGCGAUUUUCUGGACCGUAACUGACGCUGAGGCAUGAAAGCGUGGGUAGCAAACAGGAUUAGAUACCCUGGUAGUCCACGCCGUAAACGAUGAGUACUAGGUGUAGGAGGUAUCGACCCCUUCUGUGCCGCAGUUAACACAAUAAGUACUCCGCCUGGGAAGUACGAUCGCAAGAUU